Molecule: long non-coding RNA, 362 nt
Filed under: Gossypium barbadense (sea-island cotton)
Lineage: Eukaryota; Viridiplantae; Streptophyta; Magnoliopsida; Malvales; Malvaceae
Description: long non-coding RNA (GBAR_LNC017406)
Source: RNAcentral
CAUCAUUGAAAAAAAAUUAAAAAAUAAAUAAAAUAAAUAAAAAAUGGUUACCAAAAAAACCAUUUAUUUGGUAGUGCUAAUGAUUCUGGGUUUGAUUGUGAUUGCCCAAAGUGACUGUGUAGAAAAUUGCUAUCCAAAGUGCGUUGAAGAUGUUCGUGAAAAAGAAGGAUGCAAACAUGCAUGUCAAAGAUUUUGCUCCGAAUAUGACGGAAUGUUUUAAUGAUUAAGAGAUAUGUGAUUUUCAUCUACGUUACGUUAUAUUAAAUUUUAUUUUACUAUAUGCUCUCUUUUAUUAAUUUUACUUAAAAGAGAUUUUGUAAAGAAUAUAUAUAUUUAUAAUUUAAAAUAAAAUUUUAGAAAGG